GAUGAACGCUGGCGGCGUGCCUAAUACAUGCAAGUCGAGCGAACAGACGAGGAGCUUGCUCCUCUGGCGUUAGCGGCGGACGGGUGAGUAACACGUGGAUAACCUACCUAUAAGACUGGGAUAACUUCGGGAAACCGGAGCUAAUACCGGAUAAUAUAUUGAACCGCAUGGUUCAAUAGUGAAAGACGGUUUUGCUGUCACUUAUAGAUGGAUCCGCGCCGCAUUAGCUAGUUGGUAAGGUAACGGCUUACCAAGGCAACGAUGCGUAGCCGACAUGAGAGGGUGAUCGGACACACUGGAACGGAGACACGGACCAGAGGACUAAGGGAGGCAGCAGUAGGGAAUCGUGCGCAAUGGGCGAAAGCAUGACGGAGCAAAGCGGAGUGAGGGAUGAAGGUCUUCGGAUCGUAAAACUCUGUUAUGAGGGAAGAAAAAAUGUGUAAGUAAAUAUGCACGUCUUGACGGUAACUAAUAAGAAAGCAACGGCUAACUACGUG
RNAcentral lists this ribosomal RNA (497 nucleotides) under uncultured bacterium. RNAcentral describes it as "partial 16S ribosomal RNA". It matches the Rfam family "Bacterial small subunit ribosomal RNA", at positions 28 to 507 of the family's 1533-position model. The record is from RNAcentral.